Oncorhynchus keta (chum salmon) is the source of this 2597-nucleotide long non-coding RNA. RefSeq lists it as uncharacterized. The record is from RefSeq and is a predicted model, not a curated record. Lineage: Eukaryota; Metazoa; Chordata; Actinopteri; Salmoniformes; Salmonidae. The transcript has 6 exons.
CACACACAAAGAUCGUUUGUCACCUCGAUCCAGAAUAUAUUUUAUUGAGUCAUCGUCGAGCCGUUUGUUUCAGGUUAGUAAUACGGUGACUCUCUGUGUCGGUACAAAAAUAAAACAUUUGUUUUUUAUCAAAAUAGUUGUUAUAAUACUAUACUAAUAUAAUAAUAAUAAUAAUAAUAAUACUCUAUUUCUCUUUCCCAUCAAACACUCAGUGAGCAUACGGCUCUGGUCGAAAGUAGUGUUCCUGUAUAGGGAAUAGGGCUCUGGUCUAAAGUAGUGUUACUGUAUAGGGAAUAGGGCUCUGGUCUAAAGUAGUGUUACUGUAUAGGGAAUAGGGCUCUGGUCUAAAGUAGUGUUACUGUAUAGGGAAUAGGGCUCUGGUCUAAAGUAGUGUUACUGUAUAGGGAAUAGGGCUCUGGUCUAAAGUAGUGUUACUGUAUAGGGAAUAGGGCUCUGGUCUAAAGUAGUGUUACUGUAUAGAGAAUAGGGCUCUGGUCUAAAGUAGUGUUACUGUAUAGAGAAUAGGGCUCCGGUCUAAAGUAGUGUUACUGUAUAGGGAAUAGGGCUCCGGUCUAAAGUAGUGUUACUGUAUAGGGAAUAGGGCUCUGGUCUAAAGUAGUGUUACUGUAUAGGGAAUAGGGCUCUGGUCUAAAGUAGUGUUACUGUAUAGGGAAUAGGGCUCUGGUCUAAAGUAGUUGCACUAUAUAGGGAAUAGGGCUCUGGUCUAUAGUAGUGUUACUGUAUAGGGAAUAGGGCUCUGGUCUAAAGUAGUGUUACUGUAUAGGGAAUAGGGCUCUGGUCUAAAGUAGUGUUACUGUAUAGGGAAUAGGGCUCUGGUCUAUAGUGGUUCUGAGAAGGAUUCUAGAACUUUCCAGAAGAGGUUCUGAGAAGGAUUCUAGAACGUUCCAGAAGAGGUUCUGAGAAGGAUUCUAGAACGUUCCAGAGGAGGAUCUGAGAAGGACUCUAGAACGUUCCAGAGGAGGUUCUGAGGAGGAUUCUAACAUCUGAUUGUCAAAAAAGGGGAGUUAUUGGGCAACACCAUAAAUAACACAACCAACUCUGAUUGGCCAGUUCAGUCAGAAAAAGGUAGUAAAAACAACAAACAGGAAAUAAAACAACGCUUUACUGUGAGAUCAUCGUACAGAUAUAGACAGACGGACGGACGGACAGACAGACGGAGGAUAAAAGAACGUACUUCUUCCAGAUAUAUGACCAUUGAAUAUACACAGGUAGACUGAAGGAGAGAAUACUGACGUUCUACUUUAAAAAUAGCAUUUACUACAACAAUACUGCACUGUGUAGUGGUGUGACCUUAUCCAUGGUUACCAGUAGUAGAGGCCGUGUCAAACCCAGACAGAAAAGCCUAAGUAUAGUAAAGGGAAGACAGUGCGCAGUUCACUGACUACAUCUCCCAGAAGUCUUAGAGGCCUUUUCAAAAUAAAAUGUCCCCGUCAUAUAGGCUCCAGUUCUUGGAAGUUCUGUUUCAAAAUAGUAGUUUUAGAAAUGUGGUUUAUAGAUUCACAAAAAAGGUUCUGUUGAUUCCAUACUGCUCAGUGUGUGUGUGAUCAGAACUCUUAUUGUGAAAAAUUUUCAGGUGACAUACAGAAUACCCCACCAGGUGACAGGAACCUCUCCAUUGACACACAGAAUACCCCACCAGGUCACAGGAACCUCUCCAUUGACACACAGAAUACCCCUCCAGGUGACAGGAACCUCUCCAUUGACACACAGAAUACCCCUCCAGGUGACAGGAACCUCUCCAUUGACACACAGAAUACCCCUCCAGGUGACAGGAACCUCUCCAUUGACACACAGAAUACCCCUCCAGGUGACAGGAACCUCUCCAUUGACACACAGAAUACCCCACCAGGUGACAGGAACCUCUCCAUUGACACACAGAAUACCCCACCAGGUGACAGGAACCUCUCCAUUGACACACAGAAUACCCCACCAGGUGACAGGAACCUCUCCAUUGACACACAGAAUACCCCACCAGGUGACAGGAACCUCUCCAUUGACACACAGAAUACCCCACCAGGUGACAGGAACUAAACAGUCAGAUCGCUCCAUAACCAGGUGAGUCUAUUCUCUACGUAGGCAAGGCCACAGAGUUGAAUCUCUAGACUACACUAUACAUGGUGUCCCAUCCCAUAUGGGGUUUAUCUGGGUAGGUACGACUCAUAUUACAAAACACACCGAUUGUUGCUUUGGGGCAACUACAGAUUGAACACUAUGGAGUCUCCCAGGAGGGUAAGGUAAGAUGGGUAAGGUAAGAUGGGUAAGGUAAGAUGGGUAAGGUAAGAUGGGUAAGGUAAGAUGGGUAAGGUAAGAUGGGUAAGGUAAGAUGGGUAAGGUAAGAUGGGUAAGGUAAGAUGGGUAAGGUAAGAUGGGUACGGUAAGAUGGGUACGGUAAGAUGGGUAAGGUAAGAUGGGUAAGGUAAGAUGGGUAAGGUAAGAUGGGUAAGGUAAGAUGGGUAAGGUAAGAUGGGUCAAAAUGUCAGAAAUAUGCCAGAUUUGAUUAAUACUUUUAUUAUGCUUUAGAUACAAAAUGUAAAAACCGUAAAAUAUGUCAAUAAUCCUUCCUCUAUGGAUACAAU